This 500-nucleotide ribosomal RNA is filed under the name Arthrobacter koreensis. Its description in RNAcentral is "bacterial SSU rRNA". It matches the Rfam family "Bacterial small subunit ribosomal RNA", at positions 33 to 540 of the family's 1533-position model. Lineage: Bacteria; Bacillati; Actinomycetota; Actinomycetes; Micrococcales; Micrococcaceae. The record is from RNAcentral.
GACGCUGGCGGCGUGCUUACACAUGCAAGUCGAACGAUGACUUUUGUGCUUGCACAAAAUGAUUAGUGGCGAACGGGUGAGUAACACGUGAGUAACCUGCCCUUAACUUCGGGAUAAGCCUGGGAAACCGGGUCUAAUACCGGAUACGACCUCCUGACGCAUGUCAUGGGGGUGGAAAGCUUGAUGCGGUUUUGGAUGGACUCGCGGCCUAUCAGCUUGUUGGUUGGGGUAAUGGCCCACCAAGGCGACGACGGGUAGCCGGCCUGAGAGGGUGACCGGCCACACUGGGACUGAGACACGGCCCAGACUCCUACGGGAGGCAGCAGUGGGGAAUAUUGCACAAUGGGCGAAAGCCUGAUGCAGCGACGCCGCGUGAGGGACGAAGGCCUUCGGGUUGUAAACCUCUUUCAGCAGGGAAGAAGCGAAAGUGACGGUACCUGCAGAAGAAGCGCCGGCUAACUACGUGCCAGCAGCCGCGGUAAUACUUAGGGCGCAGGGCG